This 321-nucleotide ribosomal RNA is filed under the name ascomycete sp. ODP61803fw4. RNAcentral describes it as "SSU rRNA". It matches the Rfam family "Eukaryotic small subunit ribosomal RNA", at positions 1462 to 1780 of the family's 1831-position model. The record is from RNAcentral. Lineage: Eukaryota; Fungi; Ascomycota.
CUGUGAUGCCCUUAGAUGUUCUGGGCCGCGCGCGCGCUACACUGACAGAGCCAACGAGUUCUUUCCCUUGGCCGGAAGGUCUGGGUAAUCUUGUUAAACUCUGUCGUGCUGGGGAUAGAGCAUUGCAAUUAUUGCUCUUCAACGAGGAAUGCCUAGUAAGCGCGUGUCAUCAGCACGCGUUGAUUACGUCCCUGCCCUUUGUACACACCGCCCGUCGCUACUACCGAUUGAAUGGCUCAGUGAGGCCUUCGGACUGGCUCGAGGAGGUUGGCAACGACCACCUCGAGCCGGAAAGUUGGUCAAACUUGGUCAUUUAGAGGA